AUGAACGCUGGCGGCGUGCCUCAUACAUGCAAGUCGAGCGAACGGACGAGAAGCUUGCUUUUCUGAUGUUAGCGGCGGACGGGUGAGUAACACGUGGAUAACCUACCUAUAAGACUGGGAUAACUUCGGGAAACCGGAGCUAAUACCGGAUAAUAUUUUGAACCGCAUGGUUCAAAAGUGAAAGACGGUCUUGCUGUCACUUAUAGAUGGAUCCGCGCUGCAUUAGCUAGUUGGUAAGGUAACGGCUUACCAAGGCAACGAUGCAUAGCCGACCUGAGAGGGUGAUCGGCCACACUGGAACUGAGACACGGUCCAGACUCCUACGGGAGGCAGCAGUAGGGAAUCUUCCGCAAUGGGCGAAAGCCUGACGGAGCAACGCCGCGUGAGUGAUGAAGGUCUUCGGAUCGUAAAACUCUGUUAUUAGGGAAGAACAUAUGUGUAAGUAACUGUGCACAUCUUGACGGUACCUAAUCAGAAAGCUAGGGCUGACUACGUG
This 496-nucleotide ribosomal RNA is filed under the name uncultured bacterium. Its description in RNAcentral is "partial 16S ribosomal RNA". It matches the Rfam family "Bacterial small subunit ribosomal RNA", at positions 29 to 507 of the family's 1533-position model. The record is from RNAcentral.